RNAcentral lists this transfer RNA (16 nucleotides) under Rhipicephalus microplus (southern cattle tick). Its description in RNAcentral is "partial tRNA-Met". Lineage: Eukaryota; Metazoa; Arthropoda; Arachnida; Ixodida; Ixodidae. The record is from RNAcentral.
AAAGUAAGCUAAUUUU